GCCUUAACACAUGCAAGUCGAACGAUGAACCACCUUCGGGUGGGGAUUAGUGGCGAACGGGUGAGUAACACGUGGGCAAUCUGCCCUGCACUCUGGGACAAGCCCUGGAAACGGGGUCUAAUACCGGAUACUGAUCCUCGCGGGCAUCUGCGAGGUUCGAAAGCUCCGGCGGUGCAGGAUGAGCCCGCGGCCUAUCAGCUUGUUGGUGAGGUAAUGGCUCACCAAGGCGACGACGGGUAGCCGGCCUGAGAGGGCGACCGGCCACACUGGGACUGAGACACGGCCCAGACUCCUACGGGAGGCAGCAGUGGGGAAUAUUGCACAAUGGGCGAAAGCCUGAUGCAGCGACGCCGCGUGAGGGAUGACGGCCUUCGGGUUGUAAACCUCUUUCAGCAGGGAAGAAGCGAAAGUGACGGUACCUGCAGAAGAAGCGCCGGCUAACUACGUGCCAGCAGCCGCGGUAAUACGUAGGGCGCAAGCGUUGUCCGGAAUUAUUGGGCGUAAAGAGCUCGUAGGCGGCUUGUCACGUCGGUUGUGAAAGCCCGGGGCUUAACCCCGGGUCUGCAGUCGAUACGGGCAGGCUAGAGUUCGGUAGGGGAGAUCGGAAUUCCUGGUGUAGCGGUGAAAUGCGCAGAUAUCAGGAGGAACACCGGUGGCGAAGGCGGAUCUCUGGGCCGAUACUGACGCUGAGGAGCGAAAGCGUGGGGAGCGAACAGGAUUAGAUACCCUGGUAGUCCACGCCGUAAACGGUGGGCACUAGGUGUGGGCAACAUUCCACGUUGUCCGUGCCGCAGCUAACGCAUUAAGUGCCCCGCCCUGGGGAGUACGGCCGCAAGCUAAAAACUCAAGAAAUUGACGGGGGCCCGCACAAGCCGGCGGGAGCAGGGUGGGCUUUAAAUUUC
This 902-nucleotide ribosomal RNA is filed under the name Streptomyces lienomycini. RNAcentral describes it as "bacterial SSU rRNA". It matches the Rfam family "Bacterial small subunit ribosomal RNA", at positions 46 to 959 of the family's 1533-position model. The record is from RNAcentral. Lineage: Bacteria; Bacillati; Actinomycetota; Actinomycetes; Kitasatosporales; Streptomycetaceae.